Mauremys reevesii (Reeves's turtle) is the source of this 286-nucleotide long non-coding RNA. RefSeq lists it as uncharacterized. Lineage: Eukaryota; Metazoa; Chordata; Testudines; Geoemydidae. The record is from RefSeq and is a predicted model, not a curated record. The transcript is spliced from 3 exons.
CAGCUGCCUGACAGUACAGGAGCUCUUUAGAGAAAGGACUGUAGGAAGUGGUGAAAAACGACUAAAACAUGAAUAAUCUUGUGAGUGAACUGGAGGUAACCGAGAGAGGUGUUUAUAAUGAGGUUAUUUCGCUCCUGGCGCAUAUAGCUGACCAAGAUAAGAACAGAAUUGCCCUCAGGAUUGCCUCUAUAGCAAAGACCAAGCUGGUUAGUGUUGUGAGAGUUCUACUGGAGAAACUGCAACAGGAUGAGCAAAACAGAGUAGCCAUCUACUAUAUCCUGGAGGG